UUUAUAAAGCCCAAUCCAUCUUUCAAACCCUAAAUAACUAUUGUUGAAAAGCAAGUUGAAAAACAAAUCACAAGCAGCUAGCUAGCAGCCGCCUCCCCUAGAUCUCUUCAUCUUCAAACUCCUUUCACGUAUCUUUUUCUUCUGCAUAUUUCUUUUUGUUUCUUCCUUCCUUUGUUCUCUUGCAUAUGGAUUUUAAGAAAACAUAAACAUCAAAAUGAAUUCCACUUCUUUUUCUUUCUCCCAAUCUUAGUAUUAGUUCUGCAAUUUUAUUUCUAAUUCAAUUUAGAUCUUAUAAUUUCAACAUAAAAUUUUCAAGUUCAACAAAAUGGAUAUUUCACCUUCUUAAUCUACAUAGAUUCUUGAUACAUAGUUGAAAAUGAACCAGAAAACUAAUAGGUUUUAACUUCUUUUAUUUCCAAGACAAGACAAGACAAGAUAAAAAAAAUUUUAAAAAAAAAACAAAAAACGCUCAGACCGGAAAACCUGUGUGAACCGCCGGUUUUCCGGUUCUUUCCGGUUUAAGAGCGGUUUCCCCGUUUUUUGUCCGGUUUAAUGAACUAGCGGUUUUGAGAGUCAACCGGACCGGACAUAGGUCCGGUUCACGGUUGAACCGGUCGAACUGCCCGGUACGGUCCGGUUUUGACAACCAUUUGAAAGUUAAUGGAAUAGUAUAGCUUGCAAGUAAAUGGAAUAGUAUAGCUUGCAAGUUUAGCUUUUCUUCCAAACAUUAUACACUGCUCCACGGCUCCCUCCCUGUAUCACACUUUAUUAUUAAAGGAAAAAUAAAUAAAUGAGAAGCAACAUUAUCUUAUGUCACAAUCCCACCUUACAAUUUUGUCAUCUUUCUUACUUAAACCCUAAUUUUUUGGCAUAAAUAAGAGUAAAGUUUCACAGCAAAGAGGAGGUUGAAAAGAGGCAGAACCGAAAGUCACAAGAGCAAAACAGAGCAACAAAAUGUAGAGAGAAGAGAUCAAACACCUCGCCACCUCCAUAUUUCACCCAUAACCUCUACAAAUCACCACCACCAUUUUCUAUCAAUAAAAAUCACCAUAACCUAUAACUAAAAAACCAGCAAAUGAAAACCAAAUAAACUGAUCAGAGAUGAAGAGAAGAGGAUAGACACAGCCACCGCCGUUUCUGGACUACCACCGCACAUCACCACCAUCUCCGGCCGGAACUUCCACCGUCGCAGCCCCACACCACUUCAACUCAACGGCCAGUCUUCUCUCUCUUACUCUUUCUCUGUAUCUCUAUCUUUAUUGGUUUAUCCUGAUUGAGAAACAACGUAACGCCUUGUUACUGGUUGCCGGUUGGUCAUAGCAGAAGAAACUCUAGAUGUGCAAAAGACAAUUAUCAUGAGCUGAAGUUGUUGUCUAGAAGACGGAACUUUUUUUUUUUUGAACAAGACGGGGAACUGAUGUUGUUGGAUGAAGGAGAGACUCACUCUCUGUUGGUUAUUCCCCACCACUUCAAUUUUUAUUUUGUUUUGAGGCUAUUCCCCUUUUGAAGCAUAGAGUAUCAAGCUAACCAGGCGAGCCCAACCAGCGAGGAAUGCACUGUCGCUUGGGGUAUGUACCAAAACCCUCAUUUCUUGUUCCUUGAUGUUGUCAUCAAUAUUUUGGUGAUUGUGUGUGAGAUACCUUUUAGAAUGUUUUGUUUUCUUGUGUCAUCUCUUUUAGGGUUCAAGCUACAUUGGUUCGUAGAAAUAUUAUGAAUUUUUUAUGAAACUUUUGUUAAGAGUGUUUCAACCAUUUGAGCUGCAAGGAAGUGUCUAGGUAGUUUUUCAUUUUUAAAUUAGGUCUAAAUGUUGGUACAAAGUGUAAAGCGACUAAGUGCAUGAAGAUUCAUCAUCUCAUGUUAGGGGGGUCUGAAUUCUAUUAUUCAAUAAUUAAAUCAGCAUGAUAGAGUAUUACAUAGUCAAAUAUAUACCAUAUACCAGGAAUUCUACCGCUACUUUAGGGAUAAAGAAUUCUGCCAUGCAGAUAGCUUGCGGCUACCCGAAUGAAAUUGGGUGAGGAGAGUUCAUGGAGAUAGAGUUGAUUUCUGUGACUUCAGUAAUCAGUACCAGAUCACACCAUCAUAAGCGACCCUUUUUGGUAGUUAUAUUAAAUUGGUUCUGGGGGUUACAGCCGCCCCCUCGUUAUUGGCAGUUAUGGGCGGCGCACGGUUUUUCCUUUAUUGCUAGGUUAGGUCCAGGUUGAACUUCCCUCCUCUAUACCGGGUUUGGGAUUGCCAAACUCAGAGGGUACAACUGUUUUUUUCUCUCUGGUACUUUUAGCUUUUGAGGGAGACAGAGAUGGCCUGAUCCCUUUCUUUCUUUGUGGAGAAUUAAAGCAAGCCGUACUUUUGAGGAUUCAAAUGAUGGUUAGUUCGAGUUAACCCUUCAGGGUCCUUUUAACCGUAUAAGAAAAAAGAAAAAACAGGAGCAGUGUAAGGAUCAGGGCUAGCUCUGAGGGAUCUAGUCCAAUCCAAUCUCUAAACAUCUGUCUUAUAUGUGACAAUCUCGUGUUAUGAGUUAACGUAGUCCCCUAUUCGGGGUAACAUUAAAUCAGUUCUGCUGCGUUGAAUUUGGGAAAGUUCAUACUUUUGGUAGUAUAUCCUUACAUAGUUGCCAGAAGGAUGGAGGGCAUAGAAGAAUUCCCGAGGGCCGAGACUAAGGCAUCCGACUUUCCUCCCAUGAGAUAUCUAGCGCUUCACUGGUAUUUAGAGGUCUCUACUCUAUAGCCAGAGUAUAUAGUAAGGAGCAAAGUUUCAAGGGAUUCAAAAGGAAAGACUAAAGUACAGUUUAGUUCAUCAAAUUAAUCCUACAAGGCUACAACCUUGACUUUUACUUUUAUGGUACAUAAUAGCCAAUGUGUAUAGAAAAUAAUGCGGUAUUUGUGUCAAAACCAUUGUCAGCGUUGAGAUGGAAUCCCACAUCAGCUAGAGAAAUAGUCAAAGUAGAGCGGAUGAAGGUUUGGACAAUUGUCACCUCUUGAACUGGGUUUUUUGACUGUUGAGUUAGAGUUAGGUCCAGUUCUAGAUUUUAAGAUGUACCAAAUCCUAUCCUAGUUCUGAUAUUGGGCCACCCACUGUUGUCUCCAAAAAAAAAAAAAAAAAACAAACUAGUGGUUUA
This is a long non-coding RNA of Trifolium pratense (red clover), 3115 nucleotides long. RefSeq lists it as uncharacterized. The record is from RefSeq and is a predicted model, not a curated record. Lineage: Eukaryota; Viridiplantae; Streptophyta; Magnoliopsida; Fabales; Fabaceae. The transcript has 2 exons.